AAUCUUCCGCAAUGGACGAAAGUCUGACGGAGCAACCCCGCGAGAGUGAUGAAGGUCCUCGGAGCGUAAAACUCUGUUGUUAGGGAAGAACAAGGAUCGUGCGAAGAGGGCGGUACCUUGACGGUACCUAACCAGAACGCGACGGCUAACUACGCGCCAGCAGCCGCGGUAAUACGUAGGUGGCAAGCGUUAUCCGGAAUUAUUGGGCGUAAAGCGCGCGGAGGCGGUUUCUUAAGUCUGAUGGGAAAGCCCACGGCUCAACCGUGGGGGGUCAUUGGAAACUGGGAAGCUUGAAUGCAGAAGAGGAGAGUGGAAUUCCAUGGGUAGCGGUGAAAUGCGUAGAGAUAUGGAGGAACACCAGUGGCGAAGGCGACUCUCUGGUCUGCAACUGACGCUGAGGCGCGAAAGCGUGGGGAGCGAACA
This 423-nucleotide ribosomal RNA is filed under the name uncultured bacterium. RNAcentral's name for it is "partial 16S ribosomal RNA". It matches the Rfam family "Bacterial small subunit ribosomal RNA", at positions 360 to 774 of the family's 1533-position model. The record is from RNAcentral.